AACUGAGGAUAAUACCGGAUAGGCAAUUAUUCCUGUAAUGGUUUUUUGUUUAAAUGUUUUUUCGCCUAAGGAUGAGUCUGCGGCCGAUUAGGUAGUUGGUUAGGUAAUGGCUUACCAAGCCGUUGAUCGGUACGGGUUGUGAGAGCAAGAGCCCGGAGAUGGAACCUGAGACAAGGUUCCAGGCCCUACGGGGUGCAGCAGGCGCGAAACCUCCGCAAUGUGAGAAAUCGCGACGGGGGGAUCCCAAGUGCCAUUCUUAACGGGAUGGCUUUUCAUUAGUGUAAAGAGCUUUUGGAAUAAGAGCUGGGCAAGACCGGUGCCAGCCGCCGCGGUAACACCGGCAGCUCUAGUGGUAACAAUUUUUAUUGGGCCUAAAGCGUCCGUAGCCGGUUUAAUAAGUCUCUGGUGAAAUCCUGUAGCUUAACUGUGGGAAUUGCUGGAGAUACUAUUAGACUUGAGACCGGGAGAGGUUAGAGGUACUCCCAGGGUAGAGGUGAAAUUCUGUAAUCCUGCGAGGACCGCCUGUUGCGA
This 531-nucleotide ribosomal RNA is filed under the name uncultured rumen archaeon. Its description in RNAcentral is "bacterial SSU rRNA". It matches the Rfam family "Archaeal small subunit ribosomal RNA", at positions 138 to 669 of the family's 1478-position model. The record is from RNAcentral.